GACGAACGCUGGCGGCGUGCUUAACACAUGCAAGUCGAACGGAAAGGCCCUGCUUUUGUGGGGUGCUCGAGUGGCGAACGGGUGAGUAACACGUGAGUAACCUGCCCUUGACUUUGGGAUAACUUCAGGAAACUGGGGCUAAUACCGGAUAGGAGCUCCUGCUGCAUGGCGGGGGUUGGAAAGUUUCGGCGGUUGGGGAUGGACUCGCGGCUUAUCAGCUUGUUGGUGGGGUAGUGGCUUACCAAGGCUUUGACGGGUAGCCGGCCUGAGAGGGUGACCGGCCACAUUGGGACCGAGAUACGGCCCAGACUCCUACGGGAGGCAGCAGUGGGGAAUAUUGCACAAUGGGCGGAAGCCUGAUGCAGCAACGCCGCGUGCGGGAUGACGGCCUUCGGGUUGUAAACCGCUUUCGCCUGUGACGAAGCGUGAGUGACGGUAAUGGGUAAAGAAGCACCGGCUAACUACGUG
RNAcentral lists this ribosomal RNA (468 nucleotides) under uncultured bacterium. RNAcentral describes it as "partial 16S ribosomal RNA". It matches the Rfam family "Bacterial small subunit ribosomal RNA", at positions 28 to 507 of the family's 1533-position model. The record is from RNAcentral.